UUUUGUCCGGAAGAUGAUGGAAUUCUGCUUCUCGAAGCAGGAGCUCAGAUUUCUGGAUGACAUUGUGCCAGAAGGAGAGUUGGAUGAUGCCAAGAAUGAACAUGAAGGAGAAGAGUUGUCGGGAUUGGCGAAGACGAAUACAGGAGAGCUCAACAGAUAAACUUGAGGCUCCAAGAAUGCUGCUUGGAUGAGCAGCAUCUGUCAGAGCUUCGGAUGUUUCAAUCGUGGGAGACUUUAACUUCCCAGAUAUCUGCUGGAAAUACAACACAUCAGAGCGGGACCAGUCCUGAAGAUUCCUGGAAUGUGCGGGAGACAAAUUCCUGACGCAACUGG
This is a long non-coding RNA of Athene cunicularia (burrowing owl), 333 nucleotides long. RefSeq lists it as uncharacterized. Lineage: Eukaryota; Metazoa; Chordata; Aves; Strigiformes; Strigidae. The transcript has 3 exons. The record is from RefSeq and is a predicted model, not a curated record.